GGUUCCAUUGUGUAAUGGCUAGCAGUCUGAACUUUGAAUCCAAUGAUCCGAGUUCAAGUCUUGGUGGAACCU
This is a non-coding RNA of Ameiurus melas (black bullhead), 72 nucleotides long. NCBI's taxonomy places the organism in Eukaryota, Metazoa, Chordata, Actinopteri, Siluriformes, Ictaluridae. The record is from the annotation of a GenBank genome assembly.